RNAcentral lists this ribosomal RNA (253 nucleotides) under uncultured bacterium. RNAcentral describes it as "partial 16S ribosomal RNA". It matches the Rfam family "Bacterial small subunit ribosomal RNA", at positions 524 to 776 of the family's 1533-position model. The record is from RNAcentral.
UACAGAGGUCUCAAGCGUUGUUCGGAUUCAUUGGGCGUAAAGGGUGUGUAGGUGGCGCCGUAAGUCGGGUGUGAAAUUUCGGAGCUUAACUCCGAAACUGCAUUCGAUACUGCGGUGCUUGAGGACUGGAGAGGAGACUGGAAUUCAUGGUGUAGCAGUGAAAUGCGUAGAUAUCUGGAGGAACACCGGUGGCGAAGGCGGCAUCCUGGACCGAGAUUGACGCUGAGGCGCGAAAGCCAGGGGAGCAAACGGG